AAGGGGGGCUGGCUGACUUUGGGUGUCAAUUCCGACAUGCGCAGACAUGGCGAAUUGGUACCCAAAGUCAGUCAGCCCCACAC
This 83-nucleotide unclassified non-coding RNA is filed under the name Ralstonia sp. NFACC01. The record is from RNAcentral. Lineage: Bacteria; Pseudomonadati; Pseudomonadota; Betaproteobacteria; Burkholderiales; Burkholderiaceae.